AGCAGCCGCGGUAAUUCCAGCUCCAAUAGCGUAUAUUAAAGUUGUUGCAGUUAAAAAGCUCGUAGUUGAAUUUCGGGAUCAGUAGGUUGGUCAUACCUCUGGUAUGUACUGGUCUCACUGAUUCCUCCCUCUUGAAGAACUGUAAUGCCAUUAAUUUGGUGUUGCAGGGAAACUGGACUGUUACUUUGAAAAAAUUAGAGUGUUUAAAGCAAGCUAACGCUUGAAUACAUUAGCAUGGAAUAAUGAAAUAGGACGUAUGAUCCUAUUUUGUUGGUUUCUAGGAUUGACGUAAUGAUUAAUAGGGGAUAGUUGGGGGGCAUUAGUAUUCAAUUGUCAGAGGUGAAAUUCUUGGAUUUAUUGAAGACUAACUACUGCGAAAGCAUUUUGCCAAGGAUGUUUUCAUUAAUCAAGAACGAAAGUUAGGGGAUCGAAGACGAUCAGAUACCGUCGUAGUCUUAACCAUAAACUAUGCCGACUAGGGAUCGGAUGAUGUUAAUUUUUUAAUGACUCAUUCGGCGCC
This 520-nucleotide ribosomal RNA is filed under the name uncultured Glomus. RNAcentral's name for it is "SSU rRNA". It matches the Rfam family "Eukaryotic small subunit ribosomal RNA", at positions 569 to 1087 of the family's 1831-position model. Lineage: Eukaryota; Fungi; Glomeromycota; Glomeromycetes; Glomerales; Glomeraceae. The record is from RNAcentral.